UGAACGCUAGCGGCAGGCUUAACACAUGCAAGUCGAACGGUAACAUGAGAGCUUGCUCUUGAUGACGAGUGGCGCACGGGUGCGUAACACGUAUGCAACCUACCCUUUACUGGAGCAUAGCCCCGAGAAAUCGGGAUUAAUACUCCAUAGUAUCUUAAGAUCACCUGGUUUAAAGAUUAAAGUUUCGGCGGUAAAGGAUGGGCAUGCGGCCUAUUAGUUUGUUGGUGAGGUAACGGCUCACCAAGACUACGAUAGGUAGGGGUUCUGAGAGGAUGAUCCCCCACACUGGUACUGAGACACGGACCAGACUCCUACGGGAGGCAGCAGUGAGGAAUAUUGGGCAAUGGAGGCAACUCUGACCCAGCCAUGCCGCGUGCAGGAAGACGGCCCUCUGGGUUGUAAACUGCUUUUAUUUGGGAAGAAACCUCUGGACGUGUCCAGAGCUGACGGUACCAAACGAAUAAGCACCGGCUAACUCC
Molecule: ribosomal RNA, 479 nt
Filed under: uncultured bacterium
Lineage: Bacteria
Description: bacterial SSU rRNA
Rfam family: Bacterial small subunit ribosomal RNA
Source: RNAcentral